GCAAGCAGAUCUGGUUGUAUUCUGCCAUGGAGGCUUGUAUUCUUCAAAAGGACUUGAGCAACCACAAACUGAAAGUGAAACUUUGUCUGAGCUUAUCAGUUCUGUGGACACACUAGGGGCAAAGUACGAAGUACUGUACAUUUCAGAUCCAUUUCGGUCAAUCCAGUAUCCUUCUCAUCGAGAACUGGAAAGAUUUCUUGCUGAA
RNAcentral lists this unclassified non-coding RNA (205 nucleotides) under Hevea brasiliensis (rubber tree). The record is from RNAcentral. Lineage: Eukaryota; Viridiplantae; Streptophyta; Magnoliopsida; Malpighiales; Euphorbiaceae.